Non-coding RNA from Propithecus coquereli (Coquerel's sifaka), 558 nucleotides. The record is from the annotation of a RefSeq genome assembly. NCBI's taxonomy places the organism in Eukaryota, Metazoa, Chordata, Mammalia, Primates, Indriidae.
AUGGAUAUCAGAUACAAGUAUUUCAGAGCCAGGAGGGAGGUUAAGGGGAACCACUGUGUGUACACUUUCGGCUCCGGGACCAAGGUGGAGAUCAAACGAUCUCAGGCUCAGCCAUCUGCCUACAUCUUCCCACCGUCUCAGGAGCAGUUGCAGUCUGGAAGUGCCACUCUCGUGUGCAUACUAAACGGCUUCUACCCCAAAGAUAUCAACGUCAACUGGAAGGUGGAUGGUACUCUCCGGACGGAUGAUGUCCAGAACAGUCUCACAGAGCAGGACAGCAAGGACAACACCUAUAGCCUCAGCAGCACCCUGACAUUGCCCACUACUGAGUACAACCUGCACAGUUUCUUUACCUGCGAGGUCACUCAUGAGAGCCUGGGCUCGCCCCUCACCAAGAGCUUCAGUAGGCAAGAGUGUUAGAGGCAGAGGCCUCCCAGGCCCAGCCUGGGUCCCUCCCCUCCUCAGGCCAUGGGCUGUUUUCCCACAAGGGACCUACCCCUAGUGCACUCCUCCAGCCCCUCUCCCUGCCUCAGCCCCUCUCCUCCUCCUUGGCUUCAA